This 1107-nucleotide long non-coding RNA is filed under the name Phasianus colchicus (ring-necked pheasant). RNAcentral describes it as "lncRNA (ENSPCLG00000007301.1)". The record is from RNAcentral. Lineage: Eukaryota; Metazoa; Chordata; Aves; Galliformes; Phasianidae.
GUUUCAUCUAGAGCAAGAGGGAGGAAGUAGUUUGCUUUACAAAGUGCAUCCUGAAAACAAGAGAGAAAUUCCUGACAAGGCCUUGGACUUCCACUGAGGGCUGUGGCUCAGAGAAGUCUCUCCAGGCAUGAGGGUCCAAACUUUUGCCUUGCUAGGGCCACACUGAGUAAAGAGGAAUCGUUUGUGGACAAUGUCUGAUUGUUGCAGAGCGAUGACUUUGUGCCUGGGUGUGAGCUGGGCUGCUCAGCAGGGAUGAGCUGACACCAUGACGGCACAGGCUGCAGGUUAGACAUGUCUGCUCGAGUCCAUAGGGACAACAUCCUUCUGCCAGGAUCUGCACUGCCACUGAAAAGCAAAGACCAAAAUGAGGAUGGAGCUCCCUGCAUAGAGCAGAGAUCAUUUGACAUACAAAUGUCUGCAUUAAAAAAAAAGACCACACUUAGAGUGGUUUGCAUAGAUGCUGCAGAAGUUAUUUUGAUGCUGUCAUGUUUUAAGACAACAAUUUGCCUUUAGAUUUUAAAAUACGAUUUUCCAUGUUCGUGUAGGGCUCUCAUGAGUGAUUAAAAAUAGCUGCACAUUUGCAAAGUGGCAAUCCAUCUAUAAACUACAUUUGUGAGGCAUUUGCUAAGUGAACUGUUAUUCACAUUGACACCUCCUGCUUUUUCCAUGGAAUUAUGAUUCUUGAAAGUACAUGAUAUAUGAAGCUCAGUAACUCUAGCCUUCUGAGUUAUAUACAUAGCAAGUCUACAACCAGUUUGAUCAAAAAAGCAACCUGACAUAGAAUCAUAGAAUCACAGAAUCAUAGAAUCAUAGAAUGGCCUGGGUUGGAAGGGACCUCAAGGAUCAUCAAGCUCCAACUCCCCUUUCACAGGCAGGGCCACCAACCUCCUCAUCUAAUACUAGACCAGGCUGCCCAGGGCCCCAUCCAACCUGGCCUUGAACACCUCCAAGGACAGGGCAUCCACAACCUCUCUGGGCAGCCUGUUCCAGCACCUCACCACUCUCUCUGUAAAGAAUUUCCCCCUGACAUCCAACCUAAAUAGACAUGGUAAGCAAAAAGGACUACAUGAGCACAGAAUAAAAUGGGCAAAAAGGUGGCUAUAGACA